Molecule: ribosomal RNA, 1464 nt
Filed under: Streptococcus thermophilus
Lineage: Bacteria; Bacillati; Bacillota; Bacilli; Lactobacillales; Streptococcaceae
Description: bacterial SSU rRNA
Rfam family: Bacterial small subunit ribosomal RNA
Source: RNAcentral
CGCUGGCGGCGUGCCUAAUACAUGCAAGUAGAACGCUGAAGAGAGGAGCUUGCUCUUCUUGGAUGAGUUGCGAACGGGUGAGUAACGCGUAGGUAACCUGCCUUGUAGCGGGGGAUAACUAUUGGAAACGAUAGCUAAUACCGCAUAACAAUGGAUGACACAUGUCAUUUAUUUGAAAGGGGCAAUUGUUCCACUACAAGAUGGACCUGCGUUGUAUUAGCUAGUAGGUGAGGUAAUGGCUCACCUAGGCGACGAUACAUAGCCGACCUGAGAGGGUGAUCGGCCACACUGGGACUGAGACACGGCCCAGACUCCUACGGGAGGCAGCAGUAGGGAAUCUUCGGCAAUGGGGGCAACCCUGACCGAGCAACGCCGCGUGAGUGAAGAAGGUUUUCGGAUCGUAAAGCUCUGUUGUAAGUCAAGAACGGGUGUGAGAGUGGAAAGUUCACACUGUGACGGUAGCUUACCAGAAAGGGACGGCUAACUACGUGCCAGCAGCCGCGGUAAUACGUAGGUCCCGAGCGUUGUCCGGAWUUAUUGGGCGUAAAGCGAGCGCAGGCGGUUUGAUAAGUCUGAAGUUAAAGGCUGUGGCUCAACCAUAGUUCGCUUUGGAAACUGUCAAACUUGAGUGCAGAAGGGGAGAGUGGAAUUCCAUGUGUAGCGGUGAAAUGCGUAGAUAUAUGGAGGAACACCGGUGGCGAAAGCGGCUCUCUGGUCUGUAACUGACGCUGAGGCUCGAAAGCGUGGGGAGCGAACAGGAUUAGAUACCCUGGUAGUCCACGCCGUAAACGAUGAGUGCUAGGUGUUGGAUCCUUUCCGGGAUUCAGUGCCGCAGCUAACGCAUUAAGCACUCCGCCUGGGGAGUACGACCGCAAGGUUGAAACUCAAAGGAAUUGACGGGGGCCCGCACAAGCGGUGGAGCAUGUGGUUUAAUUCGAAGCAACGCGAAGAACCUUACCAGGUCUUGACAUCCCGAUGCUAUUUCUAGAGAUAGAAAGUUACUUCGGUACAUCGGUGACAGGUGGUGCAUGGUUGUCGUCAGCUCGUGUCGUGAGAUGUUGGGUUAAGUCCCGCAACGAGCGCAACCCCUAUUGUUAGUUGCCAUCAUUCAGUUGGGCACUCUAGCGAGACUGCCGGUAAUAAACCGGAGGAAGGUGGGGAUGACGUCAAAUCAUCAUGCCCCUUAUGACCUGGGCUACACACGUGCUACAAUGGUUGGUACAACGAGUUGCGAGUCGGUGACGGCGAGCUAAUCUCUUAAAGCCAAUCUCAGUUCGGAUUGUAGGCUGCAACUCGCCUACAUGAAGUCGGAAUCGCUAGUAAUCGCGGAUCAGCACGCCGCGGUGAAUACGUUCCCGGGCCUUGUACACACCGCCCGUCACACCACGAGAGUUUGUAACACCCGAAGUCGGUGAGGUAACCUUUUGGAGCCAGCCGCCUAAGGUGGGACAGAUGAUUGGGGUG